UACGGAGGGUGCAAGCGUUAAUCGGAAUUACUGGGCGUAAAGCGCGCGUAGGCGGCGUUUUAAGUCAGAUGUGAAAGCCCUGGGCUCAACCUGGGAACUGCAUUUGAUACUGGAACGCUAGAGUACGAGAGAGGGGGGUAGAAUUCCACGUGUAGCGGUGAAAUGCGUAGAUAUGUGGAGGAAUACCAGUGGCGAAGGCGGCCCCCUGGCUUGAUACUGACGCUGAGGUGCGAAAGCGUGGGGAGCAAACAGG
This 253-nucleotide ribosomal RNA is filed under the name uncultured bacterium. Its description in RNAcentral is "partial 16S ribosomal RNA". It matches the Rfam family "Bacterial small subunit ribosomal RNA", at positions 524 to 776 of the family's 1533-position model. The record is from RNAcentral.